UACAUACUAGCUCAAUUGGUAGAGCAUUACUCUGAUAAAGUAAGUGUAACAGGUUCGAUCCCUGUGUAUG
RNAcentral lists this transfer RNA (70 nucleotides) under Fischerella sp. RNAcentral describes it as "tRNA-Ile". It matches the Rfam family "tRNA". Rfam says of the family: Transfer RNA (tRNA) molecules are approximately 80 nucleotides in length. Their secondary structure includes four short double-helical elements and three loops (D, anti-codon, and T loops). The record is from RNAcentral. Lineage: Bacteria; Bacillati; Cyanobacteriota; Cyanophyceae; Nostocales; Hapalosiphonaceae.